RNAcentral lists this ribosomal RNA (253 nucleotides) under uncultured bacterium. Its description in RNAcentral is "partial 16S ribosomal RNA". It matches the Rfam family "Bacterial small subunit ribosomal RNA", at positions 524 to 776 of the family's 1533-position model. The record is from RNAcentral.
UACGUAGGGUGCAAGCGUUAAUCGGAAUUACUGGGCGUAAAGCGUGCGCAGGCGGUUGUGUAAGACAGAUGUGAAAUCCCCGGGCUCAACCUGGGAACUGCAUUUGUGACUGCACAGCUGGAGUGCGGCAGAGGGGGAUGGAAUUCCGCGUGUAGCAGUGAAAUGCGUAGAUAUGCGGAGGAACACCGAUGGCGAAGGCAAUCCCCUGGGCCUGCACUGACGCUCAUGCACGAAAGCGUGGGGGGCAAACAGG